RNAcentral lists this unclassified non-coding RNA (500 nucleotides) under uncultured Glomus. RNAcentral's name for it is "SSU rRNA". It matches the Rfam family "Eukaryotic small subunit ribosomal RNA", at positions 591 to 1092 of the family's 1831-position model. Lineage: Eukaryota; Fungi; Glomeromycota; Glomeromycetes; Glomerales; Glomeraceae. The record is from RNAcentral.
CCAAUAGCGUAUAUUAAAGUUGUUGCAGUUAAAAAGCUCGUAGUUGAAUUUCGGGGUUAGUAAGUUGGUUGUGCCACUGGUAUGUACUGGCUUUACUGAUUCCUCCUUCUUGUAGAACCGUAAUGCCAUUAAGUUGGUGUUGCGGGGAAACAGGACUGUUACUUUGAAAAAAUUAGAGUGUUUAAAGCAAGCUAACGCUUGAAUACAUUAGCAUGGAAUAAUGAAAUAGGACGUUCGAUCCUAUUUUGUUGGUUUCUAGGAUUGACGUAAUGAUUAAUAGGGAUAGUUGGGGGAAUUAGUAUUCAAUUGUCAGAGGUGAAAUUCUUGGAUUUAUUGAAGACUAACUACUGCGAAAGCAUUUGCCAAGGAUGUUUUCAUUAAUCAAGAACGAAAGUUAGGGGAUCGAAGACGAUCAGAUACCGUCGUAGUCUUAACCAUAAACUAUGCCGACUAGGGAUCGGAUGAUGUUAAUUUUAUAAUGACUCAUUCGGCGCCUUACG